GAUGAAGAACGCAGCGAAAUGCGAUAAGUAGUGUGAAUUGCAGAAUUCAGUGAAUCAUCGAAUCUUUGAACGCACAUUGCGCCCCUUGGUAUCCCGAGGGGCAUGCCUGUUCGAGCGUCAUUUCACCACUCAAGCCUGGCUUGGUGUUGGGCGACGUCCCCUUUGGGGACGCGCCUCGAAACGCUCGGCGGCGUGGCACCGGCUUUAAGCGUAGCAGAAUCUUUCGCUUUGGAAGUCGGGGCCCCGGCUGCCGGAAGACCUACUCGCAAGGUUGACCUCGGAUCAGGCAGGGAUACCCGCUGAACUUAAGCAUAUCAAUAAGCGGAGGA
RNAcentral lists this unclassified non-coding RNA (329 nucleotides) under soil metagenome. RNAcentral describes it as "partial contains 5.8S ribosomal RNA, internal transcribed spacer 2, and large subunit ribosomal RNA". The stretch from base 1 to 120 matches the Rfam family "5.8S ribosomal RNA", at positions 35 to 154 of the family's 154-position model. The record is from RNAcentral.